GUGGGCGUAGUUCAGUUGGUAGAGCGACAGUUUGUGGUACUGUUUGUCGCGGGUUCGAGUCCCGUCGCCCACCCCA
Molecule: transfer RNA, 76 nt
Filed under: Gammaproteobacteria bacterium
Lineage: Bacteria; Pseudomonadati; Pseudomonadota; Gammaproteobacteria
Also listed under: 2 other names
Description: tRNA-His
Rfam family: tRNA
About the family: Transfer RNA (tRNA) molecules are approximately 80 nucleotides in length. Their secondary structure includes four short double-helical elements and three loops (D, anti-codon, and T loops).
Source: RNAcentral